UCAUCAGGUAAGAUAACCCUUACCUUUUCCUCUAUUCUGAGGGCACAUAGAACAUGAUUAUUGGAGUUCACGUGAUUUGUGAUUGUUGUUUCUGCAUGAUUUGACUUGAAGCACCAUGAUCACUCCUCUCUGAU
Sorex araneus (European shrew) is the source of this 134-nucleotide small nucleolar RNA. Its record names the gene U8. It matches the Rfam family "U8 small nucleolar RNA". Rfam says of the family: U8 is a member of the C/D class of snoRNA which contain the C (UGAUGA) and D (CUGA) box motifs. U8 is the RNA component of a small complex (the U8 snoRNP) which is required for accumulation of mature large subunit ribosomal RNAs, 5.8S and 28S rRNAs. U8 RNA has been identified in human, mouse, rat and Xenopus. The record is from Ensembl. NCBI's taxonomy places the organism in Eukaryota, Metazoa, Chordata, Mammalia, Eulipotyphla, Soricidae.